GAGAGAAUAAUUGCGAGAGAGAGAGAGGGAAAGAUGAAAAUAAAGCGAGAAGAGAGGUUCACUCGAUAAAGUCAAGACCGCCAAAAAACUCCAGCAUGC
RNAcentral lists this microRNA precursor (99 nucleotides) under Trichophyton rubrum BMU01672. Lineage: Eukaryota; Fungi; Ascomycota; Eurotiomycetes; Onygenales; Arthrodermataceae. The record is from RNAcentral.